This 6080-nucleotide unclassified non-coding RNA is filed under the name Leishmania donovani. RNAcentral describes it as "gene:LdHU3.16.1080(CDS-product:hypothetical_prote in_conserved)". The record is from RNAcentral. Lineage: Eukaryota; Euglenozoa; Kinetoplastea; Trypanosomatida; Trypanosomatidae.
CGGACGGAAGGCACAUGUGUCGCGGUGUUAGCCUGCUUGACUGAACGAGCACUUUCACCUACUGCACCCGUCAUCUCCUUCGGCGGGCAUUCAAAGGUGUGGUCAAACAUCCUAUUUCCUUUUUCUAUGGACGGGCACACGCGCGCACAGACAAAUCGGCGUUGUAACUCUCGCUCCACGACACAGGGCGAACGCAAAAAGCCCUCAUUUUCUUCUUAUCCUUGCAUUUUCCAGCAAUGGGGUGCACCUCCUCCUCCCUUUCGUUUCGCGAUGUGUACAUCGACCUCCAACAACGCUGGGGUCUGGACCCGAAGUUGUACGGGGUGUUGGAGCCGAACGGUGUUCGUGAAAGAUCGAGUGUUUUUGCGUCGUGCGCGAGUAGCACAGCGCGGCAAGCGUCCCAGGAACUCGUCUUACGAGACGGGUGCCUUUUCGCGUGCGAUUCACUUCUAGUCGAACAGGCGCCUCUCCUAAAGCAUCCCUUAUUCCAUGAUGAGGGAAAGGGCACGCUACAUCCGUACAACGCAGUUCUCUUUCGGCGGUUGCUGUCCGCCGUGUCAGCAGAGCAUGCUCUCCAUGCCGCAACAGAGGUGUUUAGCGUCGUCCGAGAUGGCCGUUUCAUCGCCCGGUGGGACUACCGAGUGUGGAUGAUGGCGUGCUGCGAGUUCUACCAUGUGCUGGCGAUACUGCAGGAACAGAAAGCACUCCCUAAAGAAACAAAGACGUUCAUGAAGGCCCUUACGCGGUCAUCUGAGCAUAGUGCUUUACUCCAACAAAGUACAAAGGGAACGGCGCUCUCCCAAGAUGCGCUGGAGAAAGUGUGGAGGGACGGAUCGGCAGUUCAACUCACCACGUCCACGCUCGGCGCACCCGUUAUGAGGCAGUUCUGCUCUCAAAUGCCCUCCGUCCUGGCAUGCGCCAAAAAAGGCGCAAGCUCGACCGCAGCGAGCACAAUCGACGACUCUCUAGCGCCACGGCUCAUCGCUUUAGCGAAAGAGUACGAAAAGCGGAUGGUGCCGAUGACGAGGCGGCAGAGCAGUAAUCCUCUGCGCAGCUGUGACAACGCCUCAGCGCCUUCGAGCGUCCCACUUCUGGUGUUCGCGGAGUGGGCCGCCAUGGAGUGUGCGCUCUCUUUCUGUGGUCAGGAAGAGGACUUUGCUUCAUACGGCGUCGCACCGAUGCCGCUCUCUCUCGUAUUAGCACAGCGCGAGAACAACGUACGACAGCAAUGGCGCGCGCGACUGCUUUAUCUGAGUGAGGUCAAGUCCGAGCUGGCGGAACUGGAGCCGUUCGCUCAUCUCUCUGGAGCCUACAAGCAGCUACUUGCGAAAGCGGAAGGUCUGGAAAGGGAGGUGGAGGAGCAGGUCGCGAGGUGGCGCCGCGGCCGCGAGGUGCUGACGGCCGAGGAUGCUGAGGAUAUGUGCUGGCAUCUGUUGGAGAUAUGGGAGUCUCUGCCGAAUCGGACCGUGCACCAGAUUUUGUCCCGCAAGGCAUUUGAGUGCGCUGCUGGAGCUCACGGCACUAUUGCGACUACCGGCCAGCUGUGCCAGUACUUGAGGUAUUACCUGGCACUCCACGAUUUGUACCGAGACGUCCUCUUCCACCAGCUGAAAGGGUCGGAAGUGGAGGGGCUGGGCGACGGUCUAUGCUUGCCAAGGCGUAUCGACUUCGACACCUUCCGCACCGCAUUAGUGGCAGCACAGGCGAGACAUGACGCCGACCUCGAUCCUCUCCUGGGUACUGCCGCGGGGUGUGGCCCGCUGACACCAGCAUUGGUCCUGGAUGUUGUGCGUCAGCUUUUCGACUCAGUUGCCGAUAGUGACGCUGAGGAUGGGGUGAAAGGUGUCAGUUUCGAUGCACUUUGCGCCAUGGUGCUUCAAAACCUAGCGCGGGGGCGCCAUGUAUCCCCAUCCCUGCGCUCUAUCGAUGAGCUCCGUCGUGCGCUUGGCAUGGAUGAAACGAAGCGGCAGCGCGCCUUCACGGCGUCCUUCCUCCGCGAGGUCUCCACCGUCCAAGACGAUUUUUCUGCAUGCAGUCCACUGUUGGCCACUAAGGCGCUGGAGGUAGCGGCGGAGCUGCCUCAGUACACCAAUCACAGCGCUCGCGUGGCUGCGAUGGCAGUGCGGUAUGCCUCUCUUGACCCUCGCUGCUGGUCCGCUCUUUCUGCUAGUGACGAUGUCGAGUCGGCGGCGCUAACGAGGUGGCUGUAUCGAUUACGUUCUGAGUCAGUCGAUCGUUUCUCACCAACGGAGGACCCGGUGCACAUGGAGUUUGCUGUGCGCGCACUUUUCGGCUUCGCCGCUGCGCAGCGUGGGAUUGAGGACACCGCGCCAGGGGCGGAAAAGUCGGCGAAUUCUGACGUCUGCUUCGACGGUGUUCAGUUCAGCGCGACGCGGCCGCCGAUGGCCACGGACGUAACUCAGUCUCAUUUUGUCCGUGCUGUGGCGGCGAUUUGCAAGUACCUGGAGUGCCCGGCGGAGGUGUUGUUGAACAACGCACAGGCACUUUUGCUCCCGGCGAACAGUGCGGCGGAUGUGCUCAUUACGCAAGCGGUGAACCCCACAUUCACCAUUGAGAGCGCCUUCCGCUCUUUCCAGAGUGUGUCGCACUUGACGGCCGACUGGCACGGGUGCGACGACGAAGCAGAAGAGCAGAAUGCUCAAGACAGGACGCAGACAGCCAGGGUGCACCACAUUAUUUUUGUUAUGGUGUUCAACUACACGCGUCAGCACUGCUUCAGGUACUGGAAGACCCACAAGCGGUACGAUGACGACCUCGACGUUUCGUUGUCGGCGGCAAAGGACGGCAGUGACGCUGACUACCCGAAGUGGGACGGCGAGAGCGAGCUGCUGGCCCUCAGCCGCGCGAUGCCGCUGCGCACUCUCGUCAGCUGCUAUCGAGUCUUUGCUGAGUUGACCGAGCAGGAAGCACAACACAGUGAACCGGCGGAAAGUGCAAGCGGUGGGCAGGCGGCCUUUCUCCAUGCAUUUUAUGAGCAGUACAUGCCCUUCUUUCAACGGCUUCACCUAGACGAGGACCACGUGACUGAAGUGGGCGCGCGCGCGCUUCAGUUCAUAGCAAGCCAAAGUGGCCGCUGCAGCUGCGACAAGGGCGACCUGGGAAUCGCCCGCCGCGACUUCAGCUCCUUCUUGCAGUUUGUCCUGGGAUACUUGUUGGUGGAAACAGCGUACGAAUCGACCGUGCAAGCCACCUCGGAGGCGAGAGGUGCCGCUCAGGAUGGGCCUGUAGAGGUGCUCCUCUCCGAGCAAGACUUCCGGCGCCUACUGGCGUGCUUUGGCCGCUUUACGGAAGGAGGUGUUUCGGCCAUUCCUACCAUUGAAGAGGCGCACCAAUGGCUGCGGUCCCAUCACGUCGACAACACAUACAAGGGGCUCAUCUCGCUGCAAAACGUGUUACUCUGGUACAGCUCCCAUCGUGCGGAGCAUUACGCACUAGAGUCCUUGUACGACUGGUGGCGAGAGUCGCACGCGCAGCGCAUCCCCUUCACGAUGUCGGCAGAGCAUCGCCGCGAGCGGAAGUCCGCGAUACGGGAGAUUCUCCGCGUAAAGCAGCAUCGCGAAGGCUUGCCAGAGUCGUACCCAGUCGAGGUUUCCGAGGAUGAGGACGGCUACCUUCCGGUCGAAAUCACCUCUUCCGUGCUGGAGCGUCGCUGGGGCGUUGAAGAAAUAACCACCCGCGUCUUCGGCAUGGACGAAAAGCCAACAGCUGAGGCAGCGCCACCUGGGGACGGCGGAGAGGCUCAAGCAUCUUCCCUUUCUUUGGCCGUGCCGCUGUGGUUUGACAGCUGUGAGUGCGGAUGUAACGCGGCGCUUCACCCCACAGGCCCCGACUCACGCAAGGUGCAUCGCGGUGAUUUCCGUUUCCUCUUGGAGUACGUGCACCACUUUGUCUCAGCGUACGUCAGCCUGAACUACACCCUCACGUUGCUAGAGGCUUCUUCGGGCAUCGUGUCUGCUGAGGGCAGUGAGCACAGAAGCCCCAGCACCCCAGCAGCGCAUCAAGCAAACAUGGCAGAGCUGCUUUCUGAGAGUCUUCUCCUCCUCAUUCCUUUGACCAUCGUGCCCGUAGAGUUGUUGAGCACGCUAUCCAGCGUGAUGGCCGACAUGUGGAAUGAUAUGCAGACGACAGGCGUCGUGGUGGAUGGGACCUACCGACGUGGUGCACACUCCAUUGCAGCUUUCCUCGUGGGCCGCUCGCACCUCAUUGCCUCUCGCGCCCGGAAGUCAUACCUGCAAGGCAUCAGGACCCAGGGCUUCCGCGAGACGCUCACCGCCCAAGACGCCGUUGUCGGCGCGCUGGGCGGCUACGAUGUCUAUUCAAAACUGUCCUACUGGGAGCGCCUUCGCAUCCUGCUGCCCUUUGGCCCGUCCCUGCAGCGUCGUCAGCAGCGUCGUGAGCUCUUUAUGUGCAUGGACCACCGCCGACGUGGGUACCUGACGGUGUCCGACAUCGCGCGCGGGCUAAUGGACAUGGUUCAGCUGCAGUCCUUCCGCGCAGACUUCACCCCAGCGCUGCUGCGCGCUUUCAGAGCGACCAAGGACGUGGCGGGGAAACGCCAGAAUGUGGUAUAUCUCACUCAACACACGGAGGAGCAGGUGCUCAUGCCGUGGGAGUUCAACGCCUUCCUGGAAUAUCUGUAUCGGUACCUCCAGCUCUACUUCAUGUUUGAUGUGCUGGCGUGCGGUGGCCAUGUUCACCCGGAAACCCUCCACGUCGUGCAGAAGCAGCAGCGAUGUGGCACAGCUGACCCAGAUGAGGGCAGCCCAAGCGGAGAGUCUGUUGGGGCCAGGACGAGCACACGAGCGGAUGAUGCCGCAGAUGCGGCAGUGGCUGCGGACGGCGCGACAGCAGCGCCAUACACUCGCAGUGCUGCGGUUGCCCUCUAUGAAGCAUCCAUGCAACCCUAUCAAAUCACACUGGAGGCGGCCCCAAUGAAGAAGGAGGUGUCGCUGUCUCAGUUCCGAAUGGCACGCCAGCUUCUCCGUCGAUGGGGCGCACAUGUCGAAAACCCCGUGGAGGUGUUUCAGCAUGUCGACCGGCAGUGCCGCGAAGGGGGAAAGCUGCUCUUCAACGGGUUUGCCAUCUGGGCCUCCGAACAGGAUCUCCAGCCCGAAGGGAAUGGCUACGGGUAUGACGACUCUAUCGACGCGAUAGCCGUUAUGGAGGAGUACGCCUCUCAGUGAUGCUCGCGUAUGUACGCUAGAGGCCUUUUACGAGUGUGGCGCUAAUCGCAGCUGCCUCUGUCGCUGGCACGGCGAUGCGGCUCUACUUUCAGUGAAGAAGGAAGAGUUUCUCCAUCGAUUUGAGACCUUUUCCCCCUGACCACCACUUCGAGGCGUAAGGGCGGUGGCUGCCGUUUUCUUCGUCGCCUUUCAUGCGUAUAGGGUGCAUGUGUUUGUGGGUGUGCCUGUGUCUUGUACGGCUGCAUCUACACAGUGCGGUCGUGUGCCCCUAUAUGGGUAUCUUUUCCCUUGUGUUUCUCUUUUUCCCAGAACGCGUUCACUUCUUUCCUUUUACUCAUCUUGUGCCAUGUACAGUUUUACCUUUUCUUCCACCCAGCUCGGUGCGUCGUUUGUGCACUACAGUGUCUCCCGGUCUACGCGUGUUCGCUUGUCGGCCUCGCGCGAACUCUGCGUUCCCUGACUGCUUUUUUGUCCGCCAUCACAGGCUGAGACACCGCAUAGCCGGAAACCGCAAGAAAGAAACGGAAAACGAAAGUUCAUACCCCGAGUACAGAGGUGGGGCGGGGACCGCUACCGGUACCGCGAAACUGCAGUCUUCGAUCACCCGGUGCUGUGGAAUGAGCAGAUGGGUUGCCUUUUGCUUGCUCUCUUUCGACCGGCGUGGCUAGCCUCUGCUGCUAAGACACUACAAAAGCACUAGCGGUGCAGAAGAGUCGCACAUACACACACCCACGCCUCCGAGCACAAGACAGAAGUGCUGCACGGAGCUCAGGCAGGUUUCAUGCUUCAAGAGGGUGAUUCAUUUCACUGCUUUCCUCGCUGCGCGCCGUCGCCGCUCUCUUUUAUUUUUUUUUUGUGUGUCUUUAUGUUUCACAG